Molecule: ribosomal RNA, 711 nt
Filed under: uncultured Tulasnellaceae
Lineage: Eukaryota; Fungi; Basidiomycota; Agaricomycetes; Cantharellales; Tulasnellaceae
Description: eukaryotic LSU rRNA
Rfam family: Eukaryotic large subunit ribosomal RNA (bases 605-711)
Source: RNAcentral
ACAAGUCGUAACAAGGUUUCCGUAGGUGAACCUGCGGAAGGAUCAUAGUAAUCGUCUUUGACGUUCGCUUUUCCGUCGUCCUCGGGACAUUAAGGUGCUCUGGUCGAGGAUAAACGACCCCUCUGACCGAGGUCAAACCCGUCGCUCUGUGUUACCUCUAAAAAAUUUUUUCCGAGGCACACCUUAAAGAUCGUUCCGCAUUGUGAGUCUAACACCAGUUGUAUAAACUUUUUACAACCGGUAGCGCUGGAUCCCUUGGCACGUCAUUCGAUGAAGACCGUUGCAAAUUGCGAUAAAGUGAUGUGAUGCGCAAGUCCACCACUUAUACGUGAAUCAUCGAGUUGUUGAACGCAUUGCACCGCGCCCUAAUCCGGCUGCGGUAUGCCCCUUUGAGCGUCAUUGUAUUCCUUCGGGAGUCCUUUUACAAGGACCCGAGUUCGGAGUCCUCGGUCCCCUGUGGAUCGUGUUCUCUCAGAUSCSUCGCACCRAUCGCCUGAUGGGUCCUCUAAUGCCUAAGCGUGGAGUUCCUUCAGAGUCCGAGAGGUGCUUGACCGAGUCUUGAGCUCGUGUCACCAAGUCUGCCUAACAGCAGUACUACAACGCAUGACCUCAUUGGGGUAGGACAACCCGCUAGACUUAAGCAUAUUAAUCAGCGGAGGAAAAGAAACUAACCAGGAUUCCCUCAGUAACUGCGAGUGAAGCGGGAUCGGC